RNAcentral lists this transfer RNA (69 nucleotides) under Ictidomys tridecemlineatus (thirteen-lined ground squirrel). RNAcentral describes it as "Spermophilus tridecemlineatus (thirteen-lined ground squirrel) tRNA". It matches the Rfam family "tRNA". Rfam says of the family: Transfer RNA (tRNA) molecules are approximately 80 nucleotides in length. The record is from Rfam by way of RNAcentral. Lineage: Eukaryota; Metazoa; Chordata; Mammalia; Rodentia; Sciuridae.
GGGAUUGUAGCUCAGUGGUAGAGCACUCACCUAGCACAUGUGAGGCCCUGGGUUCGAUCCUCAACACCA